This 2201-nucleotide long non-coding RNA is filed under the name Homo sapiens (human). Its description in RNAcentral is "HSALNT0290910". Lineage: Eukaryota; Metazoa; Chordata; Mammalia; Primates; Hominidae. The record is from RNAcentral.
UGGGGCUUUACUGCGACCAUGCCCACCAUUUGUGUUUUGUCUGGGUGGUGCUGGUGAGGAGGCUCCAGGGGCAGUAGGCAGGCAAGCAGGAGGGGGGACCCUUGGGACCACCUCUGUUGAACCCGUUCUUUUAUGAUGUAGAAACUGAGGCACAGGGAGAGGACCAUACCUACCUUGGGAGCCACAGUGAGUCGGUGGCACGGUGAAAGUGCCAGCGACUUCCCUGGACAGGUGUUUGUCACCAAACCUGGGUGUCAGGGUUUAGUCCACAUAAGCCUGAGCCUCCUGGGGUGGGCGGGGGCAGUUCCUCUGGACAUCCCACAGUGCUGUCUUGACUUGAGAGUCUUCCACAAUGGCCCCAAACACUCUCUUCCCCCGCUGGGGUUCCGGAGCCAGCAGGCACAUCACACCAUCCUCCUCCCACGAGGAGGUCCCUGAAGCUGCUAGGAGAUCUCAGGAUCCCAGCCCUCCCAAACAGGAGCCUAGCUCUCAAGGAGCCCUAGCCACUGUCCCUGUGCUUCAUGGAGCUACUUAGUAGAAGCCACAUCCCCGGGCACCCUGCAGCUCUCUGGGGCCAUCCUCGAGGCCCUCCAACAAUCCCGACGCUAGGAAGGCUGUGACGUUCCACUGCACCAGACUUCCCAUCCCAUCUCCUGAAGUGAUUUCUCAUCUCAGGGCUCUCAAACCAACAGAAGCUUCAGCCAGCUGUCUGGGAGGGGAGGCAGGGGCCCUGGGCUCUGGUUGGAGGACCCAUGGCUCCGAUCACUGUCCUGGGGAGGUUGCACCUUCGUGUUGGCCUCAAGGGCUUCACCACCUUUCUCUGGUCUUGCAAAAAGAGGGCUUGGCAUGUUCAGCAUCUUCGUCAACUGUCCUCCCCUGUAGUUGGGAAGAAUUCUCAGGGUGUGAACUCAUUGGAAUCUCACCAUAGGCCAGGGAGGGGGGUGCUCUCGGGGGCCGGAGAAAUCCCAGUCUCGAUGCCAGGGUUGACUCCUCAGAGCUGGACUCCUGGAUCUCUGCUCAGAUCCCUCUUCCAUAAACACUGAUCCUGGAGAGACACAGCCAGCUGUCAUGAAGCCCAGACACACACACACUGUCCUCUGGCUCCCCCUCCCCGGGUCUGGGGUAGGACAUCAUUGGGGGCAUCCCUUCCUCUUCUGUCCCCAGCCCUUCCCUAGGUCUCUCAGAGCAGGGACCUGAUCUGACACGAAUCCUGACAUUUGUGAUUAAGGAAGCGCGUUUGCUUUUAGGCUGUUUGCCUGCUGUCCGUGCCGUGUGCGCAUGUACAUUCAUGUAUAUUUCCUGGCAACAUCCGCCUUUUUGUUCUUGGUGUGAGCUGCACCUCCUCACUGGUGUCUGCACAGACCGGCCUGGGAGACUGAGGCAGGGCCAGCCUGACCUGGGACCUUCAGGGACACUGGACUGCCUGGGAGAGUGACGGUGGCCUGUGCAAGGACCUCUGCAGCCAAGCUGGUCUUUUUCACUCAUGCUCUCUCACACACAUGCAGACACUCUCCUGCCACCCUUAUAGAUCAUAAAGGCCUGGAUACACAAGCUGGCCUUUGUCACAGACAUGCUGGCAUCCAUACAUGGGCACACACAUUCACAAACGAAUAUCCAUUUACACAUGCAUGCUCCCGCCACACACAAAUAGACAUGUCUUCACAAUUGCAAACGUCUGGUGAGAAGUCACUGUGUGUCAGGCAUCACGUGAGCACGUGACAUGGAUUGUCUUUUCAACCUCACAGCAACCACAGGGACUCCAUUUUACCGGUAAAGAAACUGAGGCUCAGAGAGGUGAGGUAACUUGCCUGAGGUCACACAGCAGCAAAGCAAACUUAAUUAGAAUCCAGGUCUGUCUACCUCCAAAGUUGAUGAUUACACCAUACUCAUGAGUGUACCUGCCUAGAAGCUACAGCCAGGGUGGGAAGGGGCAUUGUGGAGCAGCCCCUCCUGCCAGGAGAGAGAACACAGGCUAUGGGCCCACUUGCACUUGAAAGGCUGGGAGAGGAGAUCAGAGCUUCCUGCUGGCCCAUUGGCUCACAGGGCUGAGCAGAGGCCCUCCUGGUCUCUGGGAUGCUGCCCAGAGCAGAUGCAUUUGGGGCACAGAACACCUAGGAUUUGGAAUUGGAUUCAGUUCUACCACUUACUCUGUGGCCUCGCCCUCAUUCUAUGAAAUAAAGACAAUGGUAUCUACCUCCGAA